CCCAGCACUCAGUCAGCUGACCAGGUGAUGUGUCUGGCUCAGUGUUACAGUGCUGGUAGAGGAAGUCUCUGUGCCUGCUUGUAGCUCUGCAGGUUCUGUUUUAGAGUCUGCUGCUUCUGAGUUGUCACAGAGCAUGGCCCAACGAGAGUGGCCUGCCCUGAUCCAACAGCAGGGCAGGCCUAGUGCAGGGCCGCACAUU
Small nucleolar RNA from Epinephelus moara (kelp grouper), 199 nucleotides. RefSeq annotates it as small nucleolar RNA SNORA74. The record is from RefSeq and is a predicted model, not a curated record. The transcript has a single exon. NCBI's taxonomy places the organism in Eukaryota, Metazoa, Chordata, Actinopteri, Perciformes, Serranidae.